This 492-nucleotide ribosomal RNA is filed under the name uncultured bacterium. RNAcentral describes it as "partial 16S ribosomal RNA". It matches the Rfam family "Bacterial small subunit ribosomal RNA", at positions 29 to 507 of the family's 1533-position model. The record is from RNAcentral.
AUUGAACGCUGGCGGCAUGCUUUACACAUGCAAGUCGAACGGUAACAGGCCUUCGGGUGCUGACGAGUGGCGCACGGGUGAGUAAUGCAUCGGAACGUACCCAGAGGUGGGGGAUAACGCAGCGAAAGCUGUGCUAAUACCGCAUGUGAUCUGAGGAUGAAAGCGGGGGACCGAGCAGCAAUGUUUGGCCUCGCGCCUUUGGAGCGGCCGAUGUCGGAUUAGCUAGUUGGUGGGGUAAAGGCCUACCAAGGCGACGAUCCGUAGCUGGUCUGAGAGGACGACCAGCCACACUGGGACUGAGACACGGCCCAGACUCCUACGGGAGGCAGCAGUGGGGAAUUUUGGACAAUGGGCGCAAGCCUGAUCCAGCAAUGCCGCGUGAGGGAAGAAGGCCUUCGGGUUGUAAACCGCUUUUGGCAGGAACGAAACGGUGUCCGCUAAUACCGGGCGCUAAUGACGGUACCUGCAGAAUAAGCACCGGCUAACUACGUG